GCGUCGCUUAUUGUAUUGGAUGUAAAGACGGGACAAAAGGCAAACGUGAAUGUGUGUAUGUAUGCCUAAUGUGCACUGAAAUGAGUGCACAUUAUGGUAAAUAAAAAUACGGUUCUUUGCGUGAAGCUAGAGAAAAAUCUAUGUUUUGUAACAUGACAGCCGAUCAAAUAUGCUUUAGUCACAAAUUUUAUAUCUUCCUUCUGAGUUCAAGAGGGUAAAUUAGCAACAGUACCAAAGUAGUAGUAGUAGCAGCAACAACAUGCGGCAAACAAUGAGAAGCAUGAGCAUCACAGGGUAAACGGCUCGGAAGCAACAACGAGCGUGUCUACCUUCGUGGUCGCGGGCAAGGCGAGCGUCCCACGGGACUACGGGAGCGAGAGAGCAUCCUCUGACGCGAGCACAUGCUCCGCUCGUUUACCGUGUCGCGACCCGCGGGCGGAGCCUGCAGCACGUGGCAUGAGGAGAUGUGGACGAAGACGCCCUUGGUAGGACAACGACGGGGAUUUUGAUUACGAGCAUAACUGGAUCUGCCGCCGCCCACCGUCGGAGGGAACCAGCCGUAGUUGAGGAUGACGGAUAUCCGUCAUUCAGCCGCCUCGGGCUCGCCUCCUCGUGCAUCGCUUUGGUAGCCGUCGUCCAGGCGCCUCGGGCUGCCUCAGGCUCUCAACGUGCUCGCGACGCAACAGCCUCUGUCGGCAACUUGGACCUGAGUUCGGAUGUCGAGACCCCACCGCGCCACCGCCUCCCCGUCAUCCUCUACAACUCCUCCGUCGAGCUCGUGCCCGUGAGUCGCCGCCGCCUGACUGCUCUCUCGAUCUACAGAACCACGUCUUUAAAGUCGACGGCGUCUUUGCUACUCCGAGUUGUAGACGAAUCCCUAGCUCUACUUGAGAGGAAACCGAGAGAGAAGCUAGCGGGCCGAGGCCAAUUGCAUUGCACCCACGUCGUCCAUGCAUAUGCAACCAGCGAGAAAAUCGUAGAUGAACCAGCCGAGGUAGCUAGGAUCCGUAAUUUUUCUUCACGGUUUUUUCUCGUUUCUUCCUUUUCGGUUAUUCUUUCCUGACUGAUUUUCCUUUCAUUUUCCUUUUUAUUUUAUAUAUUAUAUACUUUAUAAAAAAACACUAUUCUAUACUUUUUGGUAAUUAACAUGG
Molecule: long non-coding RNA, 1151 nt
Filed under: Hordeum vulgare
Lineage: Eukaryota; Viridiplantae; Streptophyta; Magnoliopsida; Poales; Poaceae
Description: long non-coding RNA (HVUL_LNC003767)
Source: RNAcentral